Molecule: ribosomal RNA, 694 nt
Filed under: uncultured bacterium
Lineage: Bacteria
Description: bacterial SSU rRNA
Rfam family: Bacterial small subunit ribosomal RNA
Source: RNAcentral
GUGAGCGUGCGGGCGAUACGGGCAGACUUGAGUACUGCAGGGGAGACUGGAAUUCCUGGUGUAGCGGUGUGAAUGCGCAGAUAUCAGGAGGAACACCGGUGGUCGAACGCGGGUCUCUGGGCACGUACACUGACGCUGCAGGAGCGAACGCGUGGGGAGCGAACAGGAUUAGAUACCCUGGUAGUCCACGCCGUAACCGGUGGGUACUAGGUGUGGGUUUCCUUCCUUGGGAUCCGCUGCCGUAGCUAACGCAUUAAGUACCCCGCCUGGGGAGUACGGCCGAAAGGCUAAAACUCAAAGAAAUUGACGGGGGCCCGCACAAGCGGCGGAGCAUGUGGAUUAAUUCGAUGCAACGCGAAGAACCUUACCUGGGUUUGACAUGCACAGGACGCCGGCAGAGAUGUCGGUUCCCUUGUGGCCUGUGUGCAGGUGGUGCAUGGCUGUCGUCAGCUCGUGUCGUGAGAUGUUGGGUUAAGUCCCGCAACGAGCGCAACCCUUGUCUCAUGUUGCCAGCGGGUAAUGCCGGGGACUCGUGAGAGACUGCCGGGGUCAACCUCGGAGGAAGGUGGGGAUGACGUCAAGUCAUCAUGCCCCUUAUGUCCAGGGCUUCACACAUGCUACAAUGGCCGGUACAAAGGGCUGCGAUGCCGCGAGGUUAAGCGAAUCCUUUUAAAGCCGGUCUCAGUUCGGAUCG